AGCGAACGCUGGCGGCAGGCUUAACACAUGCAAGUCGAGCGGGCACUUUCAGGUUUCAGCGUCGGACGGGUGAGUAACGCGUGGGAACGUCCCAUGUGGUUCGGACUAACUCGGGGAAAAUCGAGCUAAUACCGGAUACGCCCUUUUAGGGAAAGGCUUGCUGCAGAACGUUCGGCCCGCGUCUGAUUAUCCAGUUGGUGAGGUAACGGCUCACCAAGGCGACGAUCAGUAGCUGGUCUGAGAGGAUGAUCCGCCACACUGGGACUGAGACACGGCCCAGACUCCUACGGGAGGCAGCAGUGGGGAAUAUUGGACAAUGGGCGCAAGCCUGAUGCAGCCAUGCCGCGUGAGUGAUGAAGGCCUUAGGGUUGUAAAGCUCUGUUAUCCGGGACGAUAAUGACGGUACCGGAGGAAUAAGCCCCGGCUAACUUCGUG
This 435-nucleotide ribosomal RNA is filed under the name uncultured bacterium. Its description in RNAcentral is "partial 16S ribosomal RNA". It matches the Rfam family "Bacterial small subunit ribosomal RNA", at positions 29 to 507 of the family's 1533-position model. The record is from RNAcentral.